UUAGGAGUCACGGGGGCUAGGGGGACGCUUUAGAGUGUUGCACUAGAGUACGAAACAUGCGCAGUGACCGAUUGUUCUGUUCUACUUUAUUGUAAUAAAUAGUUAUAAUUAAGUUGCCUACGUCCUCCUUUUCCUCCGGCACUACAGUUUUAUGGUUGACCGUGCUCGUUGACCAUGCUCGUGAGAUGCAUCUAUUGUAAAUACCAUCUGAUUUCUUCGGAUAAGGUGGCGAGAAGGCUACCCCAAAGAACGCCUAGAAGAGGAACAACAGUGUGUUGUCAGAAGAGAGAGAAGUCCGGCCAGGUGAGUCUGCUCACCUGAAGAGACAGACUCUGAGGAGGAGCAGCUGCCUUGUGUGUUGUAUUAAGUCACUGACAGGCCCAGAGGCACAGACAUCUCCCCAGGUGUUGUCGUCCCUCCUCUAUGCUUGGGGGGAGAUGGGCCUCCCCGGGUCCCCAAGCUUGACGGACAUCCGUUUAGCCGUGGCCACAUACAACUUUGACUCAGAGAUAGGCUUUCCCAAAGAAAGCCAAGAAGAAGAACAACAGUGUGUUGUCAGAGGAGAGAGAAGUCCGGCCAGGUGAGUCUGCUCACCUGAAGAGACAGACUCUGAGGAGGAGCAGCUCUGGACCUCCGGAUUGACCGCACGCUGACCAUCUACGGCAUCAGCCAGGACAACGACGCCAAGGCGUUGUCGCCCGGCGCCAUCCAGGUGUCCUGGAAGGAGCCGGAGCACAACACACAGGACAUCAUCGGCUACGUGCUGCACAUCCGGCGGUCCUCAGAACCGAGAACAGCGCCGGCUCCACGCAGGCCAGCGCCCGCCUCACCGUGCUGUGGGCCGACGGGCUCCCCGGGGCCCCCACACAGGUGCGGGCCCAGGCGUUGUCGCCCGGCGCCAUCCAGGUGUCCUGGAAGGAGCCGGAGCAGAACACACAGGACAUCAUCAGCUACGUGCUGCACAUCCGGCUGUCCUCAGGUGUUGUCGUCCCUCCUCUAAGCUUGGGGGGAGAUGGGCCUCCCCGGGUCCCCAAGCCUGACGGACAUCCGUUUAGCCGUGGCCACAUACAACUUUGACUCAGAGAUUGGCAGGAGGGACCAUCGCAAUACGACCGCGGCAGCGACUAUCAAUGCAUCGCCGAGAACAGCGCCGGCUCCGGCGAGCGAAGAGGGAAAAGCCCAGUGCCGAUACUGCAGCGGUACUGCACCGUGUUUUUGUUAUUUAUAUUUAUUCAUGU
Long non-coding RNA from Gadus morhua (Atlantic cod), 1238 nucleotides. RefSeq lists it as uncharacterized. The record is from RefSeq and is a predicted model, not a curated record. The transcript has 8 exons. NCBI's taxonomy places the organism in Eukaryota, Metazoa, Chordata, Actinopteri, Gadiformes, Gadidae.